CCAAUCACCGGUGAAUUUUUCACUUUUGUUUAUCACUUCGAGGUCCGCGGAAUUUCGCACAAUAUUUUGCGGAAAGUGAUCGAAUAUCACGUAAGCGAAACGCGCACUAACGAGUGACAAACAACAACAUCCAGUUGUUCGGAGAGUGAUCGAGCACCAAGUUCAGCCUCUCUUACCGCAGCUCGAAGUUUCGAACUUUCAAGGGAAUACUUCCGUUCGAUCAAAUCCAGCUGGGAAUUGGCGCUAAAAAGUUACAAGAACGUAGUCUUGCGUCACUUACAAAUCCAUUCGUUCCAUCGCGUGUUCCUUCAGCUUGAGGUACUGCUCGUGUUUUUGACUGAUGCAAACAUCGCGCUCGUCGAGACUGUUUUUAAGAGUUUCUACGUUUUGG
Neodiprion fabricii is the source of this 391-nucleotide long non-coding RNA. RefSeq lists it as uncharacterized. NCBI's taxonomy places the organism in Eukaryota, Metazoa, Arthropoda, Insecta, Hymenoptera, Diprionidae. The transcript has 3 exons. The record is from RefSeq and is a predicted model, not a curated record.